Molecule: ribosomal RNA, 198 nt
Filed under: uncultured bacterium
Lineage: Bacteria
Description: partial 16S ribosomal RNA
Rfam family: Bacterial small subunit ribosomal RNA
Source: RNAcentral
CGGAUCGGAGUCUGNAACCCGACUCCGUGAAGCUGGAUUCGCUGUAAUCGCGCAUCAGCCAUGGCGCGGUGAAUACGUUCCCGGGCCUUGUACACACCGCCCGUCAAGCCAUGGAAGCCGGGGGCGCUUGAAGUGCGUUGCCGCAAGGCGCGCCCUAGAGCGAAACCGGUGACUGGGGCUAAGUCGUAACAAGGUAGC